CCCACUGACCUGACUCCCCCGGCCUGUGCUUCCCAAGCCCUGGCACGCUGGACAGGGCCGGAGGGCCUCGGUGUGUGGAGCACGUGGGGACCCAGGAAAGCGCGUGCCCAUCAGAGCCAGUCUCAGGCGCUGCCCGGGUGGGCUGCCAUGAGCCGAGGUUGCCAGUGACCCUGCGCGCCAGGCGGAGCCUCGCAGGCUUCAGGCCAGCUGUGGGCCAGCAGUGACAGCGACGCGACACGCACUCCUCUGCAGACCGCACGUUCUUCUGAGGCGUUUGAGAGCGGUGAUGUGAACCUUUCAGGGACUGAGUGUUCAGACUGCGACUCAAAACCCACUUAUUUACCGCAAAGUGCCCACUCUGCUGCUGAACCUGGACACUGAGGCUUCGGUUUAGAAAAGCAACUCACCCAUCUGUGC
RNAcentral lists this long non-coding RNA (417 nucleotides) under Heterocephalus glaber (naked mole-rat). RNAcentral describes it as "lncRNA (ENSHGLG00100051289.1)". The record is from RNAcentral. Lineage: Eukaryota; Metazoa; Chordata; Mammalia; Rodentia; Bathyergidae.